CAAUAGCCCCGAUGGGAGUGGCAUCCUUUUUUGGUGACUGAGGCUCUCGAAGUCACCAAAAAAGAUAAAACGGACAGCGGGAAAAUGG
RNAcentral lists this small RNA (88 nucleotides) under Flavobacterium cauense R2A-7. RNAcentral describes it as "Flavo-1 RNA". It matches the Rfam family "Flavo-1 RNA". The record is from RNAcentral. Lineage: Bacteria; Pseudomonadati; Bacteroidota; Flavobacteriia; Flavobacteriales; Flavobacteriaceae.